UACGGAGGGUGCAAGCGUUAUCCGGAUUCACUGGGUUUAAAGGGUGCGUAGGCGGGUAAGUAAGUCAGUGGUGAAAUCUCCGGGCUUAACUCGGAAACUGCCGUUGAUACUAUUUAUCUUGAAUAUCAUGGAGGUAAGCGGAAUAUGUCAUGUAGCAGUGAAAUGCUUAGAUAUGACAUAGAACACCGAUAGCGAAGGCAGCUUACUACAUGUUAAUUGACGCUGAGGCACGAAAGCGUGGGGAGCAAACAGG
This 253-nucleotide ribosomal RNA is filed under the name uncultured bacterium. RNAcentral describes it as "partial 16S ribosomal RNA". It matches the Rfam family "Bacterial small subunit ribosomal RNA", at positions 524 to 776 of the family's 1533-position model. The record is from RNAcentral.